Non-coding RNA from Zea mays, 109 nucleotides. The record is from Rfam. Lineage: Eukaryota; Viridiplantae; Streptophyta; Magnoliopsida; Poales; Poaceae.
ACUCUAGGAUUGAUCCCAAUCCACUUGUAUUAAGGUGGAUUGGAGUGUAACUUAGUUUAAAUUACACUUCAAUCCACCUCAAUACAAGUGGAUUGGAGUCAAUACUAGA